UUUUUAAAUCAACAUUUUCUGCGUUUCCCGGGAGGGGAGGGGACUGGGGUUUGAUCAUGGGAACGACGUCCUUCCAUUCCCAACUCGAAAAAGCAGAGUUCGGUGCCUAUGGCGCCCCCUUGCAGCUUCAAAUCGUGAACAGAAAACCCCACAGUCAUAAAUUUGCUUGGGAUGGAGAUCCAACUCCAAGAGGGGUGCCAACAGUGUUUCCACAAUUGGGCAUGCUCUCAGUUGAGGGAGGAGAGAGGCUAGGAUAAAUGAGAUGCUUGAAACUUGGUCUGAAGGAUGUGGACUAAAUGGUUCAGGAUGAAAGCAACGAAGGUGAAAGUACAAAGCUAACUGAGACAUUGAAGUUUGGCUUGAAGGAUAUGGACUGAACAGUUGAGGAUUAAAGCAGUUGAAGGUAUAACAUAAAACAAUUUAGUGCUCCAAAACCAUGGAAGGUGUUACAGAAAGCUUUUAGUUGGAGGGACAGAAGAUCGUACCUGGAGGCUGUGGAGGUUGUUGACAGAAGCACUUGCAUGAAGGCAGUCGGAUAUUUAACAAUGCAGAGUGAAAGAAUUUGUUUUGUGAGGAUGUCCAAGGUGAAGAGGGUUUUGGUUUGCUAAUCUGAACUGUACAGAUAUGUUAUAUGUAUUUGACUUUCUUUCACUUGCUUUUCUUGCCCAUUUUCCAUGGGGUUAAAUUCAGUUACAUGUUAUAUGGACUCUUGACAUCCCCUUCUCCCUUUUCCACUUUAGUUAAUUGUUUUGAUAAUGCAAUUGAAAAUUCUGGCCUUGAGGGCCAUUGUUGUAUUGAUUUAGCAGUUUCUUCUGUUACAAGGAAAUGGUUGAAUAUGUAAUUACUGUAUUCCAUUUUUAUUUUUUUCAUA
Molecule: long non-coding RNA, 871 nt
Organism: Vitis riparia (riverbank grape)
Lineage: Eukaryota; Viridiplantae; Streptophyta; Magnoliopsida; Vitales; Vitaceae
Exons: 2
Source: RefSeq, a predicted model, not a curated record